UACGGGGGGGGCAAGCGUUGUUCGGAAUUACUGGGCGUAAAGGGCUCGUAGGCGGCCAACUAAGUCAGACGUGAAAUCCCUCGGCUUAACCGGGGAACUGCGUCUGAUACUGGAUGGCUUGAGUUCGGGAGAGGGAUGCGGAAUUCCAGGUGUAGCGGUGAAAUGCGUAGAUAUCGGGAAGAACACCAGUGGCGAAGGCGACGUGCUGGGUUGCACCUGACGCUGAGAUGCGAAAGUGUGGGGAGCAAACGGG
This 253-nucleotide ribosomal RNA is filed under the name uncultured bacterium. Its description in RNAcentral is "partial 16S ribosomal RNA". It matches the Rfam family "Bacterial small subunit ribosomal RNA", at positions 524 to 776 of the family's 1533-position model. The record is from RNAcentral.